This 489-nucleotide ribosomal RNA is filed under the name uncultured Acholeplasma sp. RNAcentral describes it as "bacterial SSU rRNA". It matches the Rfam family "Bacterial small subunit ribosomal RNA", at positions 887 to 1382 of the family's 1533-position model. The record is from RNAcentral. Lineage: Bacteria; Bacillati; Mycoplasmatota; Mollicutes; Acholeplasmatales; Acholeplasmataceae.
GCCCGCUCAGAAACUCAAAUGAAUUGACGGACCCGCACAAGCGGUGGAUCAUGUUGUUUAAUUCGAUGAUACGCGAAGAACCUUACCAGGUCUUGACACUCCCCCGCGAUGCUUUAGAGAUAAAGCGGAGGUAUUCGGGGAGACAGGUGGUGCAUGGUUGUCGUCAGCUCAUGUCGUGAGAUGUUGGGUUAAGUCCCGCAACGAGCGCAACCCCUAUUGCUAGUUACCAUCAUUAAGUUGGGGACUCUAGCGAGACUGCCAGUGAUAAACUGGAGGAAGGUGGGGAUGACGUCAAAUCAUCAUGCCCCUUAUGACCUGGGCUACAAACGUGAUACAAUGGCUGGAACAAAGGGAUGCGAAGCAGUGAUGUGGAGCGAAACCCAUAAAAACAGUCUCAGUUCGGAUUGAAGUCUGCAACUCGACUUCAUGAAGUCGGAAUCGCUAGUAAUCGCGGAUCAGAACGCCGCGGUGAAUACGUUCUCGGGGUUU